AUACGGAGGAUUCAAGCGUUAUCCGGACUUAUUGGGUUUAAAGGGAGCGCAGGCGGAGAUGCAAGCGUGACGUCAAAUUUCGGGGCUCAACCCCGUCUCGCGUCGCGAACUGCGUCCCUUGGUUGCGGGAAGGGGAGGCGGAACUCGUGGUGUAGCGGUGCAAUGCAUAGAUAUCACGAAGAACUCCGAUCGCGAAGGCAGCCUUCCGGCCCGUCAACGACGCUCAUGCUCGAAGGUGCGGGUAUCAAACAGGAUUAGAUACCCUGGUAGUCCGCACAGUAAACGAUGGACACCCGCGGUUUGGCCUAUAUGGCUGAGCCGCCAAGCGAAAGCGUUAAGUGUCCCACCUGGGGAGUACGCCGGCAACGGUGAAACUCAAAUGAAUUGACGGGG
Molecule: ribosomal RNA, 393 nt
Filed under: uncultured bacterium
Lineage: Bacteria
Description: partial 16S ribosomal RNA
Rfam family: Bacterial small subunit ribosomal RNA
Source: RNAcentral